UAUACGAAGAAAAUAGGUUAAUCAUAUACUGUCGCCUUUUUCCCAACAAUGCCUUCCUCCGCCGUCAGCCCUACUACAUGUGAAUGGAAAAGAAGGAUUUUAGGAAAAAUUAUCUCUGCUGUUCUCCUCCUCUUCUUCGUGUUUACUGCACCAUCCACUGCGGAUAUCAUAUCUGCGAAAAUCCGAUCUCAUAACCGAGAUAUGAUUGUGUUCUCGGAGUUCGAAUAUUCACAUACCGGUUACGUUUCUGUGGCGCUCUCCUCCGUCGCGAUCUCCUCCAUUCCGGUCACAUCAAACGUAUCACAACUUGAUCCUUCGCGUAUCGGUUUCUUGCUUCUAUCUGAUGAAUUUUUAUACCGCUACUACCAGGAAUUCAAACAAAACCCUGAUAUGUGCCCCUUAGAUAUCAAAAACAUCUCAGUCCUCUUCACAUUCCAAGAUCUCUCCCCUCCUCUUCAGUCGUCCUUUAACAAAUCGUACCAUGUCACAUAUCCGGUAUGUACUCUCUCUUUUUAGCCAAUUGCAACGACCAAUUCCUCCUUACCAUGGAUGUCCGCACAGAGCUCUACAGCACCGAUGAUGAAGGGACUACCACUACCAAAGACUAUUUAUCAGCUGGGCAACCGCAGCCGUCUUUUUUCUUCAGAUUGUUCCUUAUUUAUCUGUGUUUUCUAGUGUUUUGGAUCUCUAUAUCCUUAAAGAACCAUCGAUAUUUUCAGAGGAUCCAUCUACUUAUGGGUGUGUUGCUUGUUAUAACUCUUGUUCACUACUUAUGUGCGAUGGCGGAUCAACAAGACCUGAAGGUUACGGGGAGUCAUCAUGGAUGGCAUACGUUGUUAUACAUAUUUCAGUUUAUGAGGAAUGUGCUUUUGUUCACCGUAAUCGUGUUGCUCAAUGUAGAAUGGUGUUUAAGGAAGCCGUUUUUGGUAGAGGGAGAAAUAUUCAUCUUGACGAUCGUGAUCCUACUUCAGGUUUGGGCUAAUGUAAGCUCUGUAGCGGCUGUGGAAUCCGGUCCGCUUAAUUAUCAAGAGUUGCAGUAUUUGAUAGAUAAGUUUUCGCUUAUAGAUUUCAGCUGUUGCCUGGUUGUUGGUUUCCAUUGUUUUAACUUGGCUGAUCAGACUACGGAUUCAUCAAAGGGGACUUCUGCUACUGCUAUGCCGCCGAAUAUGUUCCAGGCCUGGGUAGUAGUAUACAUUAUAUAUUCGAGGGGAAUGAAUUUCCCGCUAAAGGUUACUGCUGCAAGAGAAGCCGGUGAUCUUGUGUUCUAUAUGGUGAUGUUUUACAUGCACAAACCAAUUCUUCUUGAGGAACAGAAUUUAAACUGUCUGGGGUAGGGAAGUUGAUUAAUCUUCAAGUGUUUUUUCGUGGAACAGUUAGAUGUUUUUAGUCUCUUUAAUUUUGAGUUUUAGGCUUGUUCUGUUCAUAACAUAUACUAGGUAGCUAGGUUCAUGGAUAUUUUGAGUUUUAGGCUUGUUCUUUUCAUAACAUAUACAAGGUAGCUAGGUUCAUGGUUGUUUUU
Molecule: RNA transcript, 1519 nt
Organism: Lactuca sativa (garden lettuce)
Lineage: Eukaryota; Viridiplantae; Streptophyta; Magnoliopsida; Asterales; Asteraceae
Gene name: protein CANDIDATE G-PROTEIN COUPLED RECEPTOR 7
Source: RefSeq, a predicted model, not a curated record